GACGAACGCUGGCGGCGUGCUUAACACAUGCAAGUCGAACGGUGAACCUCUUCGGAGGGGAUCAGUGGCGAACGGGUGAGUAACACGUGGGCAACCUGCCCCCGGCUCUGGGAUAACUCCAAGAAAUUGGGGCUAAUACCGGAUGUUCACCGCUUCCCGCAUGGGUGGUGGUGGAAAGGGUUUCCGGCUGGGGAUGGGCCCGCGGCCUAUCAGCUUGUUGGUGGGGUAGUGGCCUACCAAGGCGACGACGGGUAGCCGGCCUGAGAGGGUGACCGGCCACACUGGGACUGAGACACGGCCCAGAAUCCUACGGGAGGCAGCAGUGGGGAGUAUUGCGCAAUGGGCGGAAGCCUGACGCAGCGACGCCGCGUGGGGGAUGACGGCCUGCGGGUUGUAAACCUAUUUCAGCAGGGACGAAGCGCAAGUGACGGUACCUGCAGAAGAAGCACCGGCCAACUACGUG
Molecule: ribosomal RNA, 463 nt
Filed under: uncultured bacterium
Lineage: Bacteria
Description: partial 16S ribosomal RNA
Rfam family: Bacterial small subunit ribosomal RNA
Source: RNAcentral